Molecule: non-coding RNA, 635 nt
Organism: Sturnus vulgaris (Common starling)
Lineage: Eukaryota; Metazoa; Chordata; Aves; Passeriformes; Sturnidae
Source: RefSeq, a predicted model, not a curated record
CAUUUGCAGCAGUUGGUGUCUUUGGACAACAAGGAGACAUUUUCUCUUGAGGAUCCAUCUCAGUAUCAGACAGAUUGAAAGAAAAUGUUGAUCCUGUCCUAGGUUGUACUGUUAGAAUUCUUUAUUCUUCAUGCAAGUCACAGGUACCUGAAGAGCUUUCUCAUGGCAGCCUGUACUGCAAUGUUAACCUGCUGAUUAUUUCUUUAAAACAGUCUUUCAUACUGUGUACUGGUUGUCCUGAUAAGAUGUUCCUAAAGAAAUAAUAUUUGUGGUUGGUAUAUGGAGUAGCCUAAUUUGCAACUGUUUCUGCUGCAGAUACAUGGUAGGCCUUCCUUAGUCCAAUUGGCAAAGACAAAGAAGUGCAUAAUUGUCUAGGCUGAUUCUGCCUGCUGAUCAUUACUUUGAGCUGGUCUUGGGUCUCCCUUUCAUCUAAGAUGUGGACUUACAGGAACCUCUGUGCAUGUGACCAAACCUUAUUGCAUCAAAAAUGUACUUUUAUCACAGGAAAACAUCGUCACUAGCCAUGCCUCCUGGUAGUCUACAGUGUUAUGCUGCCACAUGCUGUCAUGUUCCAUUGGUAAGUUGUGACUUCAAAAAAGGUUGUCCUGGCUGAUAGAGAAUUAAAACAGUGCUUG